Long non-coding RNA from Cynoglossus semilaevis (tongue sole), 1062 nucleotides. RefSeq lists it as uncharacterized. The record is from RefSeq and is a predicted model, not a curated record. Lineage: Eukaryota; Metazoa; Chordata; Actinopteri; Pleuronectiformes; Cynoglossidae. The transcript is spliced from 2 exons.
AGUAGCUACAAAAAACGCCAAGAACUUCAUAUUUAAUAUAAUAUAUGAAAUCUAGCAUUUAGUGUAAAAAACAAAAUAUUUUUGCAAAUAUAGUUAAAAAUACCAACAUUUAAACAUUAGCCAAAUUAUCACUAAAAGAUGCCCAAGAAUAUCUCGUCAAAAUUAGAACAAUUUGACAAAUAUUUUGACAAAUAGCUAGACAAUAAUUAAUGAAAGAAACAGUAAUCUGGGAUAACUAAAAAUUAAUGCUAAAUUGAUGUUAGCCCCAAAAAGCUAUGUCAGCAUUACAACAGCAAAUAUCACGAAAAUAGAGUGAAAAACAGCCAGAAAAUAGCCAAACCAGGAGAAGAUAAAGGUUUGUCUACACAAUUCCUUUGUUCCAACAGAUUUAUAGGAUACACACUUAACUGAUAUUAAUCUAAGAGAAACUUAAACAGAUUAAAUAUUUAAAUGUCAAAUCACCCAGUGCUGUUCAAAUAUUGAAGUAGAACUUUUUUUGAUAAUUGCAAAAAGACUUUAAAACUAUGUAAACAGUUCACAGAUAUGAUGCUUUCUUAGACAACUUGACCGAGAGAGAUGCUGGGGUAAAUGAGUCUAGUGUGUCCCCACUGGCCUCGCUCUUAUCACAGGGCAGCAGAUGAGUGCGACCUCAUCUCAGUAUCUCAGUGGAGCCACCAGCCUGAGGCAGCAGUGUUGUCUUUGGUUCAGCUGACUCAGCAGCUCCCUUGUCUAAGGCUGGAUGGCUUUGUUUUGACUGAGGAUUGAUGGUGACCAGGCAGCCAGUCAGUCAUCCAGUCAGAAAGCCAAUCAUCUGGUUUCCACAGGACAGCCCGGUUGUUGUGACUGAAGAGCUCAGCUCCAGAGAAGAGGGCGUGUCAUUGAGUGUACAAAGCUGCACUGAGAGGCCUGAGGCAAAGGUGCAGCACGUAGACCAGGACUCUACACUUAAAGCUUUAAUCAAGGAGACUGUCUCAAACAGUCUACAUGGCUGCUGAGUGGAGGUAAACACAGAGGGACCAAGACAGAGUUUAACAGGACACCAAGCAUGACAACUUCCAAGCA